Long non-coding RNA from Pecten maximus, 1249 nucleotides. RefSeq lists it as uncharacterized. The record is from RefSeq and is a predicted model, not a curated record. The transcript is spliced from 2 exons. Lineage: Eukaryota; Metazoa; Mollusca; Bivalvia; Pectinida; Pectinidae.
UAUAGUUAUAUAGUUGGUCAGUCCAAAGUAUGUAUAGUUAUAUAGUUGGUCAGUCCAAAGUAUGUAUAGUUAUAUAGUUGGUCAGUCCAUGGUAUGUAUAGUGAUAUAGCUGGUCAGUCCAUGGUAUGUAUAGUUAUAUAGUUGGUCAGUCCAUAUAGUAUGUAUAGUUAUAUAGCUGGUCAUUCCAUGGUAUGUAUAGUUAUAUAGCUGGUCAGUACAAAGUAUGUAUAGUUAUACAUAUAGCUGGUCAGUUCAAGGUAUGUUUAGUUAUAUAGAUGGUCAGAGUGUAGUUCAACCAAUGAGUUUGAGGGAAAUCAUGCAGAUUUCUAAAAAAAAAAGCCACACAUUCUUCUUACUAUGUUCAGAUGUCUUAAUAGUAUCUUAUAGGAGCAUUGAUAUUAAAUGAAAUAUCUCCCAAUAUACCAUAUUUGUGUGAUAUAAUUCACAAUGCCAUUUAUAUUUCAAGGUAAAAACAGAAUCAAUGUUUAUGCUUGUAAUACAGUCACAUGUAGUAAAACAAAUGCCUGUAUUGCUAGACACAUGUCAGCAUAAUGGCAUGGUUAAUUUGUGCAAUAUACUUAGGUAUGUGAUACACAACAGCUAAUUAUGCAUUCUUUGCAUGUUUUGCCAAAAUAUACAAACAGUUUUACAAAUUAGGUGUCAAUAGCAAUGCCUUUGGUAGGCCAAGAUACAUACUAAAGUUGAUUAAGUUACUUUUGUUAAAUUGGACCAGAGUAGUGAUUCAUAUGCUUGUAAAAAAUACCACUGGAUAUGCUAUUUAGAGGACUCUUACCCUACACCCAGAUAGUGCUAGCACCAGUACAUAUCUAUAGAGGUUAAAAUGUUAUACAAUAAAAAUAGAAUAAAUAAAGAUGUGACCAUAGUAUUCCUCUAUAUACAGGUAUUUAUCAUUGAUACAUAUACAGGUAUUAUUCACCUAGAUACACAGGUAUGUUUCACCUAAAUAUACUGGUAUUCAUCACCUCAAUAUACAGGUAUUCAUCACCUCAAUAUACAGGUAUUCAUCAUCUUAAUAUACAGGUAUUCAUCAUCUCAAUAUACAGGUAUUCAUCAUCUCAAUAUACAGGUAUUCACUGCCUCAAUAUACAGGUAUUCAUCACCUCAAUAUACAGGUAUCUUAAUAAUAAUAUACAGAAUACUGAUAUUCUUCCUUAAACAAAACUACACAUACACUCUACACAGAGGAAAAAUACAUUUGUGGUAAUAAAAUAAUUAAACUUAAACAAAA